AGUGAACGCUGGCGGUAGGCCUAACACAUGCAAGUCGAACGGCAGCACAGUAAGAGCUUGCUCUUACGGGUGGCGAGUGGCGGACGGGUGAGGAAUACAUCGGAAUCUACUUUUUCGUGGGGGAUAACGUAGGGAAACUUACGCUAAUACCGCAUACGACCUACGGGUGAAAGCAGGGGAUCUUCGGACCUUGCGCGAUUGAAUGAGCCGAUGUCGGAUUAGCUAGUUGGCGGGGUAAAGGCCCACCAAGGCGACGAUCCGUAGCUGGUCUGAGAGGAUGAUCAGCCACACUGGAACUGAGACACGGUCCAGACUCCUACGGGAGGCAGCAGUGGGGAAUAUUGGACAAAGGGCGCAAGCCUGAUCCAGCCAUACCGCGUGAGUGAAGAAGGCCUUCGGGUUGUAAAGCCCUGUUGUUGGGAAAGAAAAGCAGCAGGUUAAUACCCCGCUGUUCUGACGGUACCCAAAGAAUAAGCACCGGCUAACUUCGUG
RNAcentral lists this ribosomal RNA (492 nucleotides) under uncultured bacterium. RNAcentral describes it as "partial 16S ribosomal RNA". It matches the Rfam family "Bacterial small subunit ribosomal RNA", at positions 29 to 507 of the family's 1533-position model. The record is from RNAcentral.